Molecule: long non-coding RNA, 5313 nt
Organism: Chinchilla lanigera (long-tailed chinchilla)
Lineage: Eukaryota; Metazoa; Chordata; Mammalia; Rodentia; Chinchillidae
Exons: 4
Source: RefSeq, a predicted model, not a curated record
GAGCCCCAGGCUGCCUCUGUGGAUGGGGCUGGGCCAGUGAGGCUGAGGCCGGGCUGGAGGACGGCCCUGCUCUGGCUGUAGCUUCAGAGUUUGCCCACAGGAUUCACUGAUGAAGAACAAGCUUCCAAGAGAAAGAGGACAUCAGGGAUGGGAACCCUUGUAAGAAAAGGGGAAGACAGAACUGACACUAAGGAGCUCUCUCAGGCCCAUUUUGCAGGCCCAGUACAGAUGAGAGCCACCCUGCCCAGGAGGGAGCCACCCACGUAACAAAUGGAGUUCUGUGAAAUCCUGAUGAAUGGCUCUGGCUGCCAGGAAAACUCCAGGGCGAAGUCAAAUGUGAGUUCUCAAACCCUUGGAGGUAUUCCUUGGAUUUAUUACGUGCCUGAUAAAUUAUUGAACCAGAGUCCUUCAGUAUCUGUUCACAGAGACAGCAGGCCAGGGCUGGUGACUCCACCUUCACCCAGAGAUUCGCCUGCAGAGGUUUGAGGAUCCCCCUGGAAGGGCUCCUGCCAGGAGCUUGGGCUGGGAAUGCCAGGUCCCAGGCCUGCUUUCCCAGAGUCACACUGGAGAAGGCCCACGGGAAACCCCCAGCAGGAGGGUCCCAAAGCCUGGGAGAGCCUCCAACGGUGGCCCUCUGGGGCCUUCCAUCCACCUUGGCCUAGAAGUAAGGGCAUUUGCCCGGCCACCUCACCUGGCGGAAAGGGGUUCGGUUUCCCAGCUUCCUUUGGAAGCCCCAAAUCCAUGCCGCUGGGGCCCCCGAAUCCCUUGAUGACCCCUUCCAUCACUGCUGUGCUAGGAGCACUGCCCUGGGCUCAUCAGAAGAUGUUAGGAAGGGCGGUGGGAGGCCACGGCCAUGCGGAAAUGAUGGGCCAGUGUUUUUGUGGUGAUUUGUUGAGGUGCAGCUGGUUUCCACAUACAUCAUCUCCCCCAUCUGUGUGGCCCCCGGCACAGACCGCGUCCUUCCUGGGUUGGGGAGGUGCCUGGGGUGUGAGGCAGGUGGCCACACACUGGGGUCUGGGCUCCACCAAAGCCUAUGUUUAUGGCAGUCUGCUGGGGAGGUUCCGGCAAGAGGUCUCACCACCUGCCUUCUCCGAGAUCCCCAGGCCCAACUUCCACUGGCUCCUUAAAGCUCAGAAUCCCGAGUCCCGUAGCCCUGGCUUCUUGGGACAGUAGCCCACACCUCCGCUGCACCCUGCCCAGAGAGCAGAGUGGGGUCAGAGUCCGGGCUCAGCUCCUCUCCACUCCUGAGUUCCCCCAGUCCUCUCUCCUGCUCUGCACCCCUCUCUCCCCUUCCCUGCCAGGUGACACCCCAGCUCCUGCUGCCCUAGCUGCACCUAGACUUGGGCAGGAAGGCUGUCCCAGGACCGACUCAGGCUCAGAGGCUGUCGGAUGCCAACAAAUAGACAUUUCCUCCUGUCCACCGCUGACCCGCCGGCUCCUGUGCUCUCAUUAACCAGCAAGGCCUGGGGAUGCUCCUGGACUACCCUGGCAUCCGGAGCCCCAGGCCGGGGGGCUCAUUUCCCAGGGCCAGAGAAUGAGAGGCUGCAGAUAGGGGGGCAAGAGCCUACGGGGGCUGCAACGCUGACUCUGUCAGGCAGCGGGAGCUUGGGAGAUAGCCUGGGCUGGGGCUGCUGCCCAGGAACGGGGCCCCAGAAGCAGCACUGCCCUUUGUGCUGGUCCAGAAAUCCUGGCUGGGUCGGGUAGAAGAGAGUCUGCAGAAGCCAUGUAGAGUGUCACACACUGCCAAAUGCUGGGACAAAGCUUGAACAGAACGCAAGGACCCAAGUCAGGUGCUGAUGGAGACCCUCCCCUUCUCUGAGAAUCGGGGGUCACAGAGCCCUGCCUUCGGGGAGAGGCUUGGUACACUUGCCCACCUCAGGUCCGGAGCUCCAGCAUGCAGCUGAGAGUGAAGACGGCCUCGGCGCCGGGCCAGCACACUUCGGGAGGUUGACAUCAGCACAGACUCACACUGCUGCGCACCUGUUGAGCAGACCCAAGAAUAGCCUUUUUCAAGGAGCUGAGCUGCCCACGUGGUCACAGGCUGGGGGCGGGGGCGACGCGGGAGCUGGGGGCUCUGGCUGUGCCCAGCUUUCCAUUCUCCCAGGCUUCGCUUCUUCACCUGGGGAGGAAGGGGGUUCCCACCCAUCUUUCUGUGCCGAGCGGUGAGGGUCUGGCUGACAAGGGGGCGGUGCAUGAGCACAUGAGACUCUGGACUCGGGGCUCGGUCCUCACCCACCUGGGCAGGGGGCUGUCAGCCCCGCAGCGACCCAUCCUCCCGCAGCCUCGGCCGGGGCUCAUUCCACGGGCCUGACCCUGAGUUGACCCAGGUCCAAGGUGGGGACCAAGGCAGCCCCAGGACAAGCUCUUGGGCACCGAGCAGGUGCUGGGCUAACCAUGAGGCCCAUGGUGGGUGCUGGUAGAGUGGCCAGCCCCCCCAGACCUGUCUCUAACCCACCUUCCUCAGGCCUGGCCCCGUGACCCUCUCAGGACCUCUCUCUGAGUUAGAGGCAAAGAUGAGGGACAUUUGGGAGAACGGGGGCCCAGUGGAGUCUCCGAAGUGCCAGCCUCAUCCCCAGGAGCCGCCUGCUCCCAGCCAGCCAGCACCUCAUUCCCAGUGCUUUCUGGAGCUGUAAGGGGCAACUCCUCCUCUCCUCCCCCUCCCUUACCUCGAGGUGGGCUGCUGCCUGCCCCCACAGACACGGUCAGCCCCAGCUCUAGCCCUACCUGCCUGGGCUCUGUAAUGAGCAUACCAAGAAAUGUGUCAGAGGUAAACCUUAAAAACAUAACCAUGUGAGGCCAGGGUGGUGCAGAGCUGUAUCCCAGCGUUCAACAGGCUGAAGCAGGAGGAUCGUACAACCUGGGCUACAGAGUGAGACCACGUCUCAAAAAAAGUCACUUGUGCCCUGAUGACCAAACUGAGUGACCGACCUCCGAGGGUACUGCAGAGGCUUUGAUGCCCCUGGAGCUGGUUCCCAGCCCUCAGCCUCCUUCCUGAGCACCAGCGAGCCUGUAUUGACUGCUCAGACUACGCAUUGAUUGGCUGAAAGGUGAAACCCGAAAUAGUCCCCUUUCCGGUAAACAGGAAUUUUAAUUGUUUAGGCAGCUAAUCUCUGGUAUUGGUCACCUCCCAGGAAGCUGGGGGCCUUUGAUCUGUGCACAGCAGCAAGGACGGUCUCAGGACAGGUACAGGGUGGUGGGCGGUGGGAGGACAGGGGCAUGGCACCACCAGCGCUCUGUGCUGGCCAGCAGGAAGCUGUGGAUCUCUCUCCCAGGAGCCGGGGCCCCUCGGCCGGGGUGCCCAGAGCUUGCUCCCGGUCCUGCUGCUUCUUCCCGGUGACGCCUUAAGCAAACUGCUUGGCCCUGCCGUGCCUAACGUCCUCAUCUGAAAAGUCAAGUAACCACAGUGACCAUGCACCUGGCCGAAAGACUCAGGCAGCGCUCUUCUGGGAGUGCAGCUGGGGCUGGGUCUACAAGGGGGCCCCAUGCCCCAGAGCAGCCUCCAAGGCCCCUCACUAGAACCUGAGAAUUGACAAUUCUAUUUCUCAAGAUGUUUGAGCAAAAAGACCUCAGUCUUCCCCGUGCCAGUCCAGCCCCGAGCACUGCCGGUGUCUGGCGUGCUUGGAUCUGUCCUUCCAGUCCCAGCUCUGGGGGCAGGAGAGCAGCCCCGAGACUUCUUGGAGAUGGGUGGGGCCAGCUGCUGCAGAGCACAACUGCACCCGUGCACGCCUGGUGCACAGGAGAGCGGGGCACAGGCACGCCGGCCUCCUCCCUGAGGUCCCAGCGGGCCACAGUGACCGCAGGGGAAGAAUGGCCAUAGCCGGGGCAUCACGUGAUCCUGUGGGCCAGCAUGAGAACCCUGACUGUGUCCUAAGGGUGCAGGGCCCCCCUGAGCUCAAGGAGACCAGGAGGCAGAGCCCGUGAGAGGCCUCUGUCACCUGGCAGGGGGCCACGAGGACCUGAGGCGGAGGUGUGGAGAGACUGGCCAACAGGAGAGCCCUUCACUGCACUCCCAGCGGGGGAGCGGAGACUGUCCUGCUCCCAGCCCCGUCUCCACGGCCACUGAGGCCUGGGGCAGGAGCCUCGGCCUCCCCAGCUGACCCCCCGAGGUGCCAGGACCUGAAACAGAGAUGCACACGUCCCGCCCCGGACUCACAGAAGCCCAGAGCCCUGGGCUCCCAAAUGUGCCAAGAGCAUGGGGAGAGGUCCAACCUCCCAAACUCAUUAGGUCCUGGCUGACAUUUCUCCAAGAAAUAAUUAAUUUUGAUAUCACAAAGGGCAUUUCCCGGCGGCCAAGGUCAUCACAGGCCUGGCUGCAGCCUUCUGUCAGCAGCAGUCUCCCACUCAGCCCGGCUGCUUUGACGAAUGGGGUUUUAGACUUGACUGCAUAAUUGGAGGAAUGAAGAGGGGGCUAAAGCUGCUUUUCUUGCAGAAAUACCUACCGGUGCCGCAUCAGCUGCAAGCUGGCCCAGCUGCGGUUGGGCCACUGCAAGCAUGGGGGACAAGCUUGGAGACCUCCGGCUCCGAAAGACAGCCUGAGGAAGCAAGGCCAGGGACCCGUCAAGGUCACCUUGAGGGCUCCCCACAAACCUCCCUCAGCCCCAGUGGGAGCACAGUGGGAAGCUGGGGGUGCGUUCGCCAGCCAUGGGGCCUGGAUGGCAGCGGUCCCCGCACUCAGCGGCAGAUGGGAUGGCGCCAGAGCCGCCCUCAGGAGCUCUUGACUGUGAUGAGAGCACGUGUGCAAGGUGCUCCGAUGCUCCCUGGCCACAGCCGGUGUUGGGCACACAUAUGCGCAAGCCUAGGAGUGACUUGGCCCCCAUAAUGAAGAAGCCUCAUAAAGGCUUAAACCACAGGCUCUCCCAUGUCCCGGCUCUGGAGGCUGGAAGUCAGGUCGGGCGCUGGUGGAGCCGGCUCCUCUGAGGCUCCAUCACUCUGUGUGACUGCCUGGUGACCCCUCUCAGAGAGGCCAUCGCGUGGGAGCAGGGCUCCCCCAUGUGACCUCCCCUUCACUACAUCUGCAGAGAAUCUGUUUCCAAAGAAAGUCACAGCCUGAAGUCUUGGUCCAUGGCACUAGGAUAGAGUGCCGCUCUGUUACAGCGAAGUUCAUUACUAGGAAAACCCUGAAUCCAGACAUCUAUCACAGCUGCCCCCAUAAUGCCAACCUCCGAAGCAAGCACGCUGCCCUUCCGCAGAUGAGUGAACAUACACACUGUGGCACCCUCAGAGAGAGGGAUGUUAUACAGCAACAAAAAGAAACUAGUACUGUCACAAGCACACAUCUGUUAUCCCAGCACUCAUGAGUUCAAGGCCAGCCUG